Molecule: ribosomal RNA, 311 nt
Filed under: uncultured bacterium
Lineage: Bacteria
Description: bacterial SSU rRNA
Rfam family: Bacterial small subunit ribosomal RNA
Source: RNAcentral
AUCUUCGGACCUCUCGCUAAUAGAUGAGCCUAGGCCGGAUUAGCUAGUUGGUAGGUAAAGGCCUACCAAGGCGACGAUCUGUAGCUGGUCUGAGAGGAUGGCCAGCCACACUGGAACUGAGACACGGUCCAGACUCCUACGGGAGGCAGCAGUGGGGAAUAUUGGACAAUGGGGGCAACCCUGAUCCAGCCAUGCCGCGUGUGUGAAGAAGGCCUUCGGGUUGUAAAGCACUUUAAGCGAGGAGGAAGGUUUUAGUUUAAUACACUAAAGAAUUGACGUUACUCGCAGAAUAAGCACCGGCUAACUCUGUG